RNAcentral lists this ribosomal RNA (253 nucleotides) under uncultured bacterium. Its description in RNAcentral is "partial 16S ribosomal RNA". It matches the Rfam family "Bacterial small subunit ribosomal RNA", at positions 524 to 776 of the family's 1533-position model. The record is from RNAcentral.
UACGAAGGGGGCUAGCGUUGCUCGGAAUCAUUGGGCGUAAAGGGUGCGUAGGCGGCGCGGUAAGUCGGGUGUGAAAUCUCGGAGCUUAACUCCGAAACUGCAUUCGAUACUGCCGUGCUUGAGGACUGGAGAGGAGACUGGAAUUUACGGUGUAGCGGUGAAAUGCGUAGAUAUCGUAAGGAAGACCAGUGGCGAAGGCGGGUCUCUGGACAGUUCCUGACGCUGAGGCACGAAGGCCGGGGGAGCAAACGGG